AGAUUGAACGCUGGCGGCAGGCCUAACACAUGCAAGUCGAGCGGCAGCACGGGUACUUGUACCUGGUGGCGAGCGGCGGACGGGUGAGUAAUGCCUAGGAAUCUGCCUGGUAGUGGGGGAUAACGCUCGGAAACGGCGCUAAUACCGCAUACGUCCUACGGGAGAAAGCAGGGGACCUUCGGGCCUUGCGCUAUCAGAUGAGCCUAGGUCGAUUAGCUAGUGGUGAGUAUGCUCACCAGGCGACGAUCCGUACUGGUCUGAGAGGAUCGGACCAGUCACACGUGGAACUGACGACACGGUCCAGACUCCGUACGGGAGC
This 319-nucleotide ribosomal RNA is filed under the name uncultured soil bacterium. RNAcentral's name for it is "bacterial SSU rRNA". It matches the Rfam family "Bacterial small subunit ribosomal RNA", at positions 26 to 348 of the family's 1533-position model. The record is from RNAcentral.